Molecule: long non-coding RNA, 392 nt
Filed under: Vigna radiata
Lineage: Eukaryota; Viridiplantae; Streptophyta; Magnoliopsida; Fabales; Fabaceae
Description: long non-coding RNA (VRAD_LNC001260)
Source: RNAcentral
UCUCCAACCUGCAACCACUCGAUGCUGAUACUCACCCUCGACACCACCACCCCUCAACGCAGCAACCACUCGAACCCUAGCCCAAGACUCCCAAACCAGAACGCACCGUGAAGGAACCCUAUUCCAAGACCACCGUGAAGGAACCCUAUCCGAGAAAGUGAGGGAGGGUGAAGAAAAGGCGGGACGUGAAAAGGGAGGGAAGUGUCUGAAGAAAACGACGAACUCGACGAAGGGUUUCCGAAAGUGAAAUUGGGGAACGAAAACCCUAACUGAGAUUUUAAAUCAGGGAGGAACUUACCGACGGCUCAAAAGCCUUCGAUAAGCAUAUCAUUACCCACGGCCUCAAGGCCUUCGGUAAUAUGUCGUAGAUAAAUCGCGCUUUUCCUGUAGUG